GACUGCGGAGGAUCAUUAUCGUAGGGCUUCGGCCCUGUCGAGAUAGAACCCUUGCCUUUUUGAGUACCUUUCGUUUCCUCGGCAGGCUCGCCUGCCAAUGGGGACCACAAAAAACACUUUGCAGUACCUGUAACAGUCUGAACAAACAAACAAAAAUUAAAACUUUCAACAACGGAUCUCUUGGUUCUGGCAUCGAUGAAGAACGCAGCGAAAUGCGAUAAGUAAUGUGAAUUGCAGAAUUCAGUGAAUCAUCGAAUCUUUGAACGCACAUUGCGCCCUCUGGUAUUCCGGGGGGCAUGCCUGUUCGAGCGUCAUUACAACCCUCAAGCUUUGCUUGGUAUUGGACAUUGCCAGUUUCUGGCAGGUCUUAAAAUCAGUGGCGGUGCCAUUUGGCUUCAAGCGUAGUAAUUCUUCUCGCUUUGGAGAUCCAGGUGGUUACUUGCCAAUAACCCCCAAUUUUUUCAGGUUGACCUCGGAUCAGGUAGGGAUACCCGCUGAACUUAAGCAUAUCAAUAAGCGGAGGA
Molecule: ribosomal RNA, 524 nt
Filed under: uncultured Pleosporales
Lineage: Eukaryota; Fungi; Ascomycota; Dothideomycetes; Pleosporales
Description: eukaryotic LSU rRNA
Rfam family: 5.8S ribosomal RNA (bases 161-314)
Source: RNAcentral